This 1248-nucleotide long non-coding RNA is filed under the name Apteryx rowi (Okarito brown kiwi). RNAcentral's name for it is "lncRNA (ENSARWG00000011581.1)". Lineage: Eukaryota; Metazoa; Chordata; Aves; Apterygiformes; Apterygidae. The record is from RNAcentral.
GGGUUGUCCUGAUGUUUCCAUUGCAGAUCUUGUCACAACCAUUUGCAUCUUUGCUGCCUUUGAACUGAAUGGCCUGGGACUAAGUUUGAAGUUUGCUCAGAAACUACUGCURAUGUGGAUGAGAGCUCCUAGAUGAGGCCAGCCACUGUUGGCUGCCUCUCUCCAGGGUACCUGCGGUGCUGACUUCAAAGGGAUUCCCAUUGACUAGACCUUAACUGCCAGUGGGUUAUAAGACACAUCCAUUCGUCUUGGCUUUUUAUGAACUCUGAUCAGGGUCAACCACUGGAUUCUGUGACAUUUAGCCCGAUGGGUGUGCUUUCUUGUCUUUCGAUCUCGAAUGAUGCUGGUGCUGCUGAGAGGACUAAAAUGGGGAUGUGGCCUUGCUGGAAGUUAACGUCUGCUUACUUUUGACCUCUAUGGGGUAAGUGCGUGUUUCAACAGCGUCUGGGAGCUGACUGUUAAAGCAGAAUUUCUGGAUUGAAUCAGCGGGACACAGAAAAGCCUCAGGUCCACAUUGGACAGCAGUACAGCACUGCCGACUGCCCUCCUCAGCACAUGUUUUGACACAGAACAAAUCUGCUGAUGCAAGCUGAAUGCUUCUAGGUGUUCUGACAUAAGACUGUAAGGGGCUAAGCUAUUAAAGGAAAAACUGCCUGAGUUCAUACAUUCUUAACAGUUACUGGAUUCUCUCUUGCUUCUUUUUAGUUUUUCAUUAAAAGGUGGAUUUAUAUUAACAUAGUUUUUCUGUUAAGACCCUUUCAAAAUAGGUGUCAAAAUGUGUGCUGUAGCUUGUAUAUUAUUUUUAAUCCCUGUUUAUAAUAAUGCCUCAGAAGCCUGAAACUAACAUCUGUUUCCUUCUUGGGUUGGUUUUCUUCUAUAGAAGACACUUCCCUUAUUUUAGCUACAAAAGGCUACCCUAUUCUGUAAUCAAGGGUCAAAAUGUCAUAAACUAAAGUUACGCUGUCUGGGGCUUGGACGUAAGGGAGCUCGUUACUGCAGCAUCUAACUUGUGGGGAAAAUAGCAAAGCCCAGCCUGGCCUUUGUGUGCAAGACAGAAGCGGGAAUGUUAAAUCCUCUUCCCUUUGGUUAUGGGUCCCUGGGGAAAAAAGGAAUUGCCCAUGUUACCUUCGCUGUGUUCGUAACUCUUGUUGCUCUGCAUUAUGGUGAUGAUUAUAAUCACAUCCCUUGCUUCAGAAAUUCAGCUGGUCACCUGUAAGGGGCAGGAAGGAAUUUACUUUCUAAUGCAUG